RNAcentral lists this transfer RNA (76 nucleotides) under Vibrio parahaemolyticus. RNAcentral describes it as "tRNA-Gly". It matches the Rfam family "tRNA". Rfam says of the family: Transfer RNA (tRNA) molecules are approximately 80 nucleotides in length. The record is from RNAcentral. Lineage: Bacteria; Pseudomonadati; Pseudomonadota; Gammaproteobacteria; Vibrionales; Vibrionaceae.
GCGACACUAGCUCAGUUGGUAGAGCGCAACCUUGCCAAGGUUGAGGUCACGAGUUCGAACCUCGUGUUUCGCUCCA